Molecule: unclassified non-coding RNA, 329 nt
Filed under: soil metagenome
Description: partial contains 5.8S ribosomal RNA, internal transcribed spacer 2, and large subunit ribosomal RNA
Rfam family: 5.8S ribosomal RNA (bases 1-120)
Source: RNAcentral
GAUGAAGAACGCAGCGAAAUGCGAUAAGUAAUGUGAAUUGCAGAAUUCAGUGAAUCAUCGAAUCUUUGAACGCACAUUGCGCCCCCUGGUAUUCCGGGGGGCAGGCCUGUCCGAGCGUCAUUACAACCCUCAAGCUCAGCUUGGUGUUGGGCCCCGCCGCCCCGGCGGGCCCUAAAGUCAGUGGCGGUGCCGUCCGGCUCCGAGCGUAGUAAUUCUUCUCGCUCUGGAGGUCCGGUCGUGUGCUCGCCAGCAACCCCCAAUUUUUUUCAGGUUGACCUCGGAUCAGGUAGGGAUACCCGCUGAACUUAAGCAUAUCAAUAAGCGGAGGA